ACACAGGGCGCGCCGCGCUCGCUCGGCACGGGCAGCUCAGCCGGCCUCACGCCGCCGUCCGCAACAGCAGCCGCGGGCGGGGUGCAGCCACCUCCGUGAGCGCCGCAGCCCGCCCCACUCGGGGCGGGGCCCGCGGGCACCGGAGAGCGGACGGCCGAGCACGAGGGGGCUGCGCGCAGCUCCGGGCAGGGACCCCGUCUGCACCGGGUGGCCUGCAAGAUUGCCGGGGUAGGCAGGGGGAGGAGAACGCUCACCCGUUCCGGUCUGGCGCUCCCUUUUCUCCACACCCACACGCCUCCCGCUCCACGCUGGCGGCGCAGCUGCUCCCGCUGCCACAGCCGCCACCGCCGCCGAAGCUCGCGCCGCCGCCGCUGCCGCCUUGGCUGAGCGCGGUCACGUGACGCGAUCCGCGGGGAGCCUGGGGGCGGGCGAGUGCGCGCGCGCGCGCGCGGAGGAACCGCGGCUCGGACCGGGACUGGGAGCUGAGCGGCACUGGGAGGGCGUUUAAGGGGAGGACCCGGCGAGCGCGCCCUCGGCUGGCGAGCGCGCGCCUGGCGAUUAGAACUUGCCGCGCGGUCGGGAAAGGGUGGCCGGAGUGAGGGGCGGAGGUGGGGACUUGCGCCUCCGCACGCCCCUCCCUUUCUUCCUUCCCCUGAGCGCCUUGGCUUGCCGCUGCCCCCGCCCCCUCCAGCGCGCCCCUUCCCUCCUGCCGCAGCCUGCGAUUGGCUGAGAGGCUCUGACGUCCGUGUUUCCAUGACGUGUUGGUGCAGGAGGGAGCGGCGGGGGAGGAGGGGGUGGCCAGGCGCGCGGGGAGGUGACUCCGUCAGUCACAGCUGCUGUUUCGGCGCGGGGCCGGGCCGCUGCCGCGACGUGUGGAGGCAGGAGAGCGAUGAUUGCCGCAGGAGAAGUGCGGGCGCCCUUCACCUGGGGCCCCUCCCGAACCGCCCCCGGGCCCAUGCCCCUCCAGGGCCCAGGAGCGAGCCAGCGGGAGGGCGAGGGCGAGCGCUCCUGGCGAGGACAGAUUAAGGCGAACCCCCAGUCAGCGGACAUUUGAGCGGCUCCUCGCCGCGUCUCUGCCCCCACUCCAAACCGGACUCGACGCCUGUCCCGGGCCGUGACGCACGCACCGGAGGAAAAAGUGCUUCUCGGCUCGCUCCCUCUUUGGGGAAGAGAGCUCACUCCCCAUGCGGGCGCGGGACACUCCAUCUCUGUUCCUGCCGGUCGGGUCCGCAAACACCGGGGAUCCCAGCUGCGGCGCCCAAAGGGUUAACGCAGGCGUUCGGCCAGUGCAAACCGGCCUCGCAGGAUCCGCGCUUAAAAUCCGGGUGUUUUCAUUUUGGGUUUGUUUCUUCUACUAUGCCAAGCUGGUGGCUCUCUUUUAAUUCUCUUGUAACAUCUCAACCCUGCACCCAUCUUUCCUGAGGGGAAAAGGAAACGGGAUAACUUGCGGUAUUUCGAUGCUCAAAGGUAACCGGCGGCUCUGCUCCAACCUUCAAGAGAUUUUGCAAGUUGAAAAAAAAAAAAAAACCAUCCUUCGUAACAUCUACUUAAAAAAAAAAAAGCAAGUUUUCCUUCUUGUACACGCAUAUACACAGUAAAGAUGUGUAUCUUACCUAAGAUACCGCGCUUCAUCUUCAUCUAAUCUUUAUUUGAACUCACCGUCGCCACUGGCCCAGAGACCUUGUCAGUGUUAUUUUCAGUAUCAGUUAAUCAGAACAAAAAGAUAAGUUCUGCAAUCUUCUUUCUCUUAAUUCCAGAACUGGAAAAUUAAUAUUUAUAUAGCCUCCUCAAAAGCAUACAGGCAAUAGGAAGUAUGGUAUUAUGUUCACGAUCUGAUGAUAGCAUUUGUUUUAAAAUAUUUUAAAAGAUUAGACACAAAAUGUGUAAAAGACGUUUAAAAGUGAAUAAAUAUAAAUCAAUGCUGUUG
RNAcentral lists this long non-coding RNA (1927 nucleotides) under Homo sapiens (human). Its description in RNAcentral is "HSALNT0369610". Lineage: Eukaryota; Metazoa; Chordata; Mammalia; Primates; Hominidae. The record is from RNAcentral.